Molecule: long non-coding RNA, 874 nt
Organism: Delphinapterus leucas (beluga whale)
Lineage: Eukaryota; Metazoa; Chordata; Mammalia; Artiodactyla; Monodontidae
Source: RefSeq, a predicted model, not a curated record
CUCACUCCAGCCGUUACACUAUUUUUAUCUGGUGGCUUAGGACUUGAAACAAUGCAUUAAAAACGGCAGAGCUGGGAGAGCUAACCCCCCCUUCGCCAGCAAGUGAGGGUGUGUCUUUAGCGAGUUGCUUCAUCUCUUGGGAAGCGGGGAGUGCAACAGGGGCUAACCGCAGGUGCGCCCCGAGGCAGCGGGACUUGUGUGUUACGUGCGUGGAAGGCAGGUCUGCUCCACCGCUGUCCUUUGCUGAGCCUUGAUAAAGUGCGAGCUCUACUCAAAGCCCAAGCUCGGUUCCUACGCCCCACUGCUGUCAAAGCUGAGUCCGAAAACCUGCACGUUCUCACGCCCCCCUACCCCCCCCUCGGCCUUGCCUGCCCUCAAUCAAAGGGAGUGAUUGAUACUACUUGCACGUGGUGGUUCUUUAAGACCACAGUUUCCAUUACCAACAGAGAUGGUUUUCAAAGUCUGGUGGUGGAACUGAAGCCUUCAAAAGAAGGACUAACCAGAAGCCCGAUAUGUAAAGCAGUGGAGGCUGGAAUGCAUCGAGUGGCCUGGCUCCGCAGGGGACAGUUUGAACAUCUCUGGCCUGUAGGAUAAAGGUUGCCUCGUGAGACCACAGUUAAGAUGUUGGCCAGGGCUGCAGUCACCACUGCUGCUGGAGGAUUCCCUGCUGAGAGGGCUUAGUCACCUGACUGCCCUUCGAGUGAAGCUCAUGGGAAGCGACUUCCCAGCCCCAGUCAAGCCUUUGGAUGACUGCAGACCCUGCCAGCAUCUUGACCACAACCUUGUAAGAGACCCAGAGCCACUAGCUCAGAACCACUCAGCUGUGUCAUUCCCGGACUCCCAAUCCUCGGGUGCUGAGUGAAAAAAUAAAUGU